CAGGCUUAACACAUGCAAGUCGAGGGGCAGCAUGGUCUUAGCUUGCUAAGGCCGAUGGCGACCGGCGCACGGGUGAGUAACACGUAUCCAACCUGCCGUCUACUCUUGGACAGCCUUCUGAAAGGAAGAUUAAUACAAGAUGGCAUCAUGAGUCCGCAUGUUCACAUGAUUAAAGGUAUUCCGGUAGACGAUGGGGAUGCGUUCCAUUAGAUAGUAGGCGGGGUAACGGCCCACCUAGUCUUCGAUGGAUAGGGGUUCUGAGAGGAAGGUCCCCCACAUUGGAACUGAGACACGGUCCAAACUCCUACGGGAGGCAGCAGUGAGGAAUAUUGGUCAAUGGGCGAGAGCCUGAACCAGCCAAGUAGCGUGAAGGAUGACUGCCCUAUGGGUUGUAAACUUCUUUUAUAAAGGAAUAAAGUCGGGUAUGGAUACCCGUUUGCAUGUACUUUAUGAAUAAGGAUCGGCUAACUCCGUGCCAGCAGCCGCGGUAAUACGGAGGAUCCGAGCGUUAUCCGGAUUUAUUGGGUUUAAAGGGAGCGUAGAUGGAUGUUUAAGUCAGUUGUGAAAGUUUGCGGCUCAACCGUAAAAUUGCAGUUGAUACUGGAUAUCUUGAGUGCAGUUGAGGCAGGCGGAAUUCGUGGUGUAGCGGUGAAAUGCUUAGAUAUCACGAAGAACUCCGAUUGCGAAGGCAGCCUGCUAAGCUGCAACUGACAUUGAGGCUCGAAAGUGUGGGUAUCAAACAGGAUUAGAUACCCUGGUAGUCCACACGGUAAACGAUGAAUACUCGCUGUUUGCGAUAUACUGCAAGCGGCCAAGCGAAAGCGUUAAGUAUUCCACCUGGGGAGUACGCCGGCAACGGUGAAACUCAAAGGAAUUGACGGGGGCCCGCACAAGCGGAGGAACAUGUGGUUUAAUUCGAUGAUACGCGAGGAACCUUACCCGGGCUUAAAUUGCAGAUGAAUUACGGUGAAAGCCGUAAGCCGCAAGGCAUCUGUGAAGGUGCUGCAUGGUUGUCGUCAACUCGUGCCGUGAGGUGUCGGCUUAAGUGCCAUAACGAGCGCAACCCUUGUUGUCAGUUACUAACAGGUUCCGCUGAGGACUCUGACAAGACUGCCAUCGUAAGAUGUGAGGAAGGUGGGGAUGACGUCAAAUCAGCACGGCCCUUACGUCCGGGGCUACACACGUGUUACAAUGGGGGGUACAGAGGGCCGCUACCACGCGAGUGGAUGCCAAUCCCCAAAACCUCUCUCAGUUCGGACUGGAGUCUGCAACCCGACUCCACGAAGCUGGAUUCGCUAGUAAUCGCGCAUCAGCCACGGCGCGGUGAAUACGUUCCCGGGCCUUGUACACACCGCCCGUCAAGCCAUGGGAGCCGGGGGUACCUGAAGUGCGUAACCGCGAGGAGCGCCCUAGGGUAAAACUGGUGACUGGG
This 1432-nucleotide ribosomal RNA is filed under the name uncultured organism. RNAcentral describes it as "16S ribosomal RNA". It matches the Rfam family "Bacterial small subunit ribosomal RNA". The record is from RNAcentral.